UACGGAGGGUGCAAGCGUUAUCCGGAAUCACUGGGUUUAAAGGGCGCGUAGGCUGCUGCUUAAGUCAGGGGUGAAAGUUUGUCGCUUAACGAUAGAAUUGCCUUUGAUACUGUGCGGCUUGAAAGUAGGUGAGGUUGGCGGAAUGUGACGUGUAGCGGUGAAAUGCGUAGAUAUGUCAUAGAACACCGAUUGCGAAGGCAGCUGGCUAACCUAAAUUUGACGCUGAGGCACGAAAGCGUGGGUAGCAAACAGG
RNAcentral lists this ribosomal RNA (253 nucleotides) under uncultured bacterium. RNAcentral describes it as "partial 16S ribosomal RNA". It matches the Rfam family "Bacterial small subunit ribosomal RNA", at positions 524 to 776 of the family's 1533-position model. The record is from RNAcentral.